UACAGAGGGGGCAAGCGUUGUUCGGAAUUACUGGGCGUAAAGGGCGCGUAGGCGGCCUUCUAAGUCGAACGUGAAAUCCCUGGGCUCAACCCAGGAACUGCGUCCGAUACUGGGAGGCUUGAAUCCGGGAGAGGGAUGUGGAAUUCCAGGUGUAGCGGUGAAAUGCGUAGAUAUCGUGGAGGAACACCGGUGGCGAAGGCGACGUCCUGGACCGGCAUUGACGCUGAGGCGCGAAAGCCAGGGGAGCAAAGCGGGG
Molecule: ribosomal RNA, 256 nt
Filed under: uncultured bacterium
Lineage: Bacteria
Description: partial 16S ribosomal RNA
Rfam family: Bacterial small subunit ribosomal RNA
Source: RNAcentral